This 481-nucleotide ribosomal RNA is filed under the name uncultured bacterium. Its description in RNAcentral is "bacterial SSU rRNA". It matches the Rfam family "Bacterial small subunit ribosomal RNA", at positions 29 to 524 of the family's 1533-position model. The record is from RNAcentral.
AACGAACGCUGGCGGCGCGUCUUAAACAUGCAAGUCGAACGAUCUGUAGCAAUGCAGGGAGUGGCGGACGGGUGAGGAACACGUAGGAAUCUACCUAGAAGAGCGGGACAACCUUGGGAAACCGGGGCUAAUACCGCAUAGUACAGUGAUGUUAAAGGGCUAGCAAUAGUCGCUUCUAGAUGAGCCUGCGGUCUAUCAGCUUGUUGGCGGGUAACGGCCCACCAAGGCUACGACGGAUAGCCGGUCUGAGAGGAUGAUCGGCCACACUGGCACUGAGACACGGGCCAGACUCCUACGGGAGGCAGCAGUUAAGAAUCUUGCGCAAUGGACGAAAGUCUGACGCAGCGACGCCGCGUGAAGGAUGAAGGCUUUCGGGUUGUAAACUUCGGUAGACUGGGAAGAAAAGUAAGUUCGUUGAGGGCUUACAUUGACGGUACCAGUCUGAAGCCCCGGCUAAUUACGUGCCAGCAGCCGCGGUAAU